UGCGGCAGGCUUGUUGAGUACUUCCA
This 26-nucleotide non-coding RNA is filed under the name Mus musculus (house mouse). Lineage: Eukaryota; Metazoa; Chordata; Mammalia; Rodentia; Muridae. The record is from RNAcentral.